ACAAACACAAAAAAACCCAAAACAAAACAAAAACCCACAAACCCAAAAAACCCCAACAAUCAAAAAAAGAACCCAAACCAAUUCUGCUAACUGGAGUAAAUGAAAUUAAACAGAUCUUUGUGUGUGAUUACAUUUGUGUGCUCCAGUACAAUACAGAACAAAAGGCAACUUUAUGCUUACAAUCUUCUCUACAGAUUCUGUUUUCUUCAUCAGGAUGAAGCAUUGGAGCAAGGAUACAUUUUCAAAUGCUGUACUGGAAAAAGGGCUACACAUAGGUUUAAGGUUCAGGGUGUGCUUUUAUGACAGGCUUGGGACUUGGACUGCCAAAGCUGAUUAUUUCUUCCACAUACUCACACAGGCUAAUGCUCCAUAUGCUUGGCCAGGGCCUGGACCCCAGUGUCCAAGUGCAGGUCUUAAGUUACCCAGUCAAAGCAAACAGAUUUAGGGUUUGGCUCAUGCACUGUCCAGGCUGAAGUUCAGCUGUUAUUGCUUGAGGCCCACCUCCACUCUCUACAGCUCCUUAGGCUCAGCACUCAGCCUUAUGCACUCUUCACAUGUUUGGCCUCCUUCAUCCUUGCAGAUGGAGUUUCCAGUGAGUGUCCUGCCUUCCCCCCUGCCUGCCUUCUUGUGCAGAGAAGCUAUGAAGAUUAUCUAAGGGCUGGAACCCCUCUCCUGUGAGGAUAAGCAAAAAGAGUCAUGGUUGUUCUUCCUAGGAGAACAAGGCUGUGGGGAAGCCUUAGAGCAGCCUUUCAGUACUUAAAGGGGUCUUAGCAGUACUGGGUUAAUGGCUGGACUUGAUCAUCUUGGAGGCCUCUUCCAGCCUUGAUGAUUCUCUGAUUAUAAGAAGGAUAAGGACAAACUUUUUAGCAGGGACUGUUGUGACAGGAUGAGGGAUGAUGGUUUUAAACGAGAAGAAGGCUGAUUUAGAACAGCUAUAAAGAGCAAGGUUUUUUUAUAAUUACUGUGAUUAAACACUGGAGCGGGUUGCCCAGAAAGGAGGUGGAUACCUCGUUCUUGGAAACAUUCAAGGUUAGGCUAGAGGAAACAUUCUUGGAAACAUUCAAGGUUAGGUCUCUGAGCAACCUGGUCUGGUAAAGAAUGUCCCUGCUUAUUCCAGGAGUUUUUUUACUAGAUGGCCUUUAAAGGUCCAUUUAUUUUAUGAUUAAACAAAAGGAAACAAUCCCCAGAAACUAACACUAACCAAGAGGUAUAAAAGAUAGCAGAGAAUGAAAAUCAGGAAAACAGGGAUAAUAAAAGAGAAAAGCAAACCUACAUCAAAAAGACUGUUUUGUUUAGUUUCUGAAAGAAUGCUUCUGGAAAAAGAUCUUUAGCUUUGGUACAUAAUGGCAAACAUCCUAUGCAUUUACUCAGAGUGCCCUAGGGCAGGUGUUCUCACAGCUGGAAAUACAGAUAGCUGCGAGGUGGGCCUGCAAAGGGGCCUGGAGAUCACACCCCUGUUCUGAGGUUGGGAAUGCAAAGCUCUAUCACAAGGGAUAAUAUACGUAAAAGCUGGUCCAAGAAGUUUGGGAAUCAGUGCUGCAACUUGAAGCCAUACUCAUUCUGAGCAGAAAACAGGUAUGCUUCAGUUUGCAGAGCUUCUCAGAUGAAUUGCAAUUUUGUACACUGGUUAAUAGGCAGAGGAAAUUCUUUUCUUUGGUUUCCACCCUCCCACUUGUUCUUCCUCCUCCCUAGAAGAUUUUAUACUCACAGUAAACCAAGUAUGAAAUUAUUUCAAUAUUUGGUUACGCUCAGAGAGGGCAGAGACCCUGACGAAGCACACAGGGUGGGGAAUCCAUGAUUGUCACAAUUUCUUUUCCCUGUGACUCACUUGCAGGCUUUUUUCAACAAGACAAAUGAACUGCUUUCAAUUCACAGCAAUUUUUAAAUGAAAAAGCUGUUAAGAAUCAAAAGAAGUAUUUUCAAAUUUGACUGCAAAGAUUAAAGAAAGUAGUUCUUUACUGGUCACCUGAAUCUAUUUUAUGAAGACAUCUGAAGCAUUUUAUCAGCUGCUGAGCAGUAUUUACUUAUGAAACUGCUCUAAUUGCUUUGGAAUGUGCACCCUUACUGCUGGAACAGCUCAGCCCUGCUAACACUGAGCAAAGUAAUACUGGUUCAUAGGACAUGCGACUUUUAUACAGCAUUUGUUCCUCAUUCUCAAGGUAAACAGCAUGAAAUUUGAAAAUGAAAAGCAGCAAAUACCUCAUAAACAAUGACUUUUGCAGAACUGCCCUAAGUGUUUACAAAACCAUCAGCUCAUCAGCAAAAUUAAUCAUUGCCAUGACUGAAAUCAUCACAGAUCAGUAAUUUAGAACUAAGCCCAUCUUGCAGCUGGAAAUUGCAUGGGUGAAAACUUAUUCCUGGUGCCCAGUAAAUAAGUACUGGAGCCAAUAUUCAGCUUAAAAGAAGCGGUGUGUCCUGAGCACGAAUAAGCCCUAAGCUUGCAAUCUUGCCCUCUCUUAGUAGGUCAGCAGUGGAGGUCUUGGUAGAUCUAAGAAAAUCUACUCAGUCUUGCCUUAAUCUUCUAAAACUGAAGCAGAACUCUGGUCUGCAUUGCACAUGCCCAGGCUCAGUAACAGCCUGACAGAAAAAAACCCAAGAAAAUUGGUUAUAGCUCUGUCUUUAAGACAAAGCAAUCCCAAAGACUGAGUCUCAACCUGGAAAGUGCAGUUGUUUGAACAGCACUUUACUCUUUGUCUAUCUGUAUCACAAAAUCCCCCUGUAUUUUACCCAGAAGAGUUGGAAAAGCACAAAAUAAUUGCUAUCAUGCAUGUUGAUGUAUAAAACAUAGAAAAUAAAGAACAAUAAAGGACAAAUCAUCCCAAUCCUCCUAGCACUGAUACAGAAGUGAACUGCUAUAUGUAGGAAAUAGCUAAGCCAGUCCCACUGGCCUGGGCCAAACUUUAUAAAGACUUGUAAACUUCACAUGCUUUGAGUUAGUUUCAUAGGAGGCAGGAAUGUCACAUGCCUAUUCCCCACCCCCCCACUUCAAGCUUGAGUUAACAGAAUCCUUGGAUAAAGCAGCUUCAGACAAAACCAGGCCAGGCUUGGAGAUAAACAGCCCUGGUGGCUGCUCAGAGACCAGGGUCCACACCUUCACAAUCAGAUCUUGGAGAAGGCUGAGGGUGACACAGGGUUAGAUGCUCUCAGCUGAGAGGGCUCUUUCUGACUCGUUCAACAAGAAAGUUUCUUGAGUUUUCUGCCUGACAUCCCAUCCAGGUCUUCUCCUGCUCUGUGAAGGAUUAAAACUCCCAAUGAUAUAAAGCAGAAGAAACAGAUGUAAACCCCAGAUUUAUCUCCAGUUCAGAUGAGGCAUCCUGGUUUCACAAAACUGAAUCAGACAGUUUUUGUGUACCUAUGGGAGCAGUUACCACAGCGAAGAGGCAUUAACCUCACCUCUGCAGAUCUGGAUGGCUGCAAAGCGGGCUUGGAAGAUACUCGAAGAUCAAAGUAGCGGAUGCCGCCUUCCAACUGCUCUUUGAAAGUCAAAUUUUGAGUCACUGACCAUUUCUUCAUGAUCUUUCUAACCAAGGAAAUUCUGGCCAAACGUUUGAUGGCUGUUG
Motacilla alba alba is the source of this 3560-nucleotide long non-coding RNA. RefSeq lists it as uncharacterized. NCBI's taxonomy places the organism in Eukaryota, Metazoa, Chordata, Aves, Passeriformes, Motacillidae. The record is from RefSeq and is a predicted model, not a curated record. The transcript is spliced from 4 exons.